AGAUUGAACGCUGGCGGCAGGCCUAACACAUGCAAGUCGAGCGCGAAAGUUCCUUCGGGAAUGAGUAGAGCGGCGGACGGGUGAGUAACGCGUAGGAAUUUGCCCAGUAGUGGGGGACAACUCGGGGAAACUCGAGCUAAUACCGCAUACGCCCCAAGGGGGAAAGCAGGGGAUCUUCGGACCUUGCGCUAUUGGAUAAGCCUGCGUCGGAUUAGCUAGUUGGUGGGUAAGGGCCUACAAGGCAACGAUCCGUAGCUGGUCUGAGAGGAUGAUCAGCCACACUGGGACUGAGACACGGCCCAGACUCCUACGGGAGGCAGCAGUGGGGAAUAUUGGACAAUGGGGGCAACCCUGAUCCAGCCAUGCCGCGUGUGUGAAGAAGGCCUUAGGGUCGUUAAAGCACUUUCAGUGGGAGGAAAAGCUGGCGGCUAAUAUCCGUCGGCCCUGACGUUACCCACAACGAAGAAGCACCGGCAAACUCCGUAGCUAGCAGCCG
RNAcentral lists this ribosomal RNA (496 nucleotides) under uncultured soil bacterium. RNAcentral describes it as "bacterial SSU rRNA". It matches the Rfam family "Bacterial small subunit ribosomal RNA", at positions 26 to 517 of the family's 1533-position model. The record is from RNAcentral.